RNAcentral lists this ribosomal RNA (305 nucleotides) under uncultured bacterium. RNAcentral's name for it is "bacterial SSU rRNA". It matches the Rfam family "Bacterial small subunit ribosomal RNA", at positions 337 to 639 of the family's 1533-position model. The record is from RNAcentral.
CCCUACGGGGCGCAGCAGUGAGGAAUAUUGGUCAAUGGCCGAGAGGCUGAACCAGCCAAGUCGCGUGAGGGAUGACGGCCCUACGGGUUGUAAACCUCUUUUGUCGGGGAGCAAAGAGAGUCACGUGUGGCUCAUUGAGAGUACCCGAAGAAAAAGCAUCGGCUAACUCCGUGCCAGCAGCCGCGGUAAUACGGAAGGUCCGGGCGUUAUCCGGAUUUAUUGGGUUUAAAGGGAGCGUAGGCCGGUCUUUAAGCGUGCCGUGAAAUUUUGUGGCUCAACCAUGAGAGUGCGGCGCGAACUGGAGA